GACGAACGCUGGCGGCGUGCUUAACACAUGCAAGUCGAACGGAAAGGCCCUGCUUUUGCGGGGUGCUCGAGUGGCGAACGGGUGAGUAACACGUGAGUAGCCUGCCCUUGACUUUGGGAUAACUUCAGGAAACUGGGGCUAAUACCGGAUAGGAGCUCCUGCUGCAUGGUGGGGGUUGGAAAGUUUCGGCGGUUGGGGAUGGACUCGCGGCUUAUCAGCUUGUUGGUGGGGUAGUGGCUUACCAAGGCUUUGACGGGUAGCCGGCCUGAGAGGGUGACCGGCCACAUUGGGACUGAGAUACGGCCCAGACUCCUACGGGAGGCAGCAGUGGGGAGUAUUGCACAAUGGGCGGAAGCCUGAUGCAGCAACGCCGCGUGCGGGAUGACGGCCUUCGGGUUGUAAACCGCUGUCGCCUGUAACGAAGCGUGAGUGACGGUAAUGGGUAAAGAAGCACCGGCUAACUACGUG
Molecule: ribosomal RNA, 468 nt
Filed under: uncultured bacterium
Lineage: Bacteria
Description: partial 16S ribosomal RNA
Rfam family: Bacterial small subunit ribosomal RNA
Source: RNAcentral